CUAGCUGGUCUGAGAGGAUGACCAGCCACACUGGAACUGAGACACGGUCCAGACUCCUACGGGAGGCAGCAGUGGGGAAUAUUGCACAAUGGGCGCAAGCCUGAUGCAGCCAUGCCGCGUGUAUGAAGAAGGCCUUCGGGUUGUAAAGUACUUUCAGCGGGGAGGAAGGGAGUAAAGUUAAUACCUUUGCUCAUUGACGUUACCCGCAGAAGAAGCACCGGCUAACUCCGUGCCAGCAGCCGCGGUAAUACGGAGGGUGCAAGCGUUAAUCGGAAUUACUGGGCGUAAAGCGCACGCAGGCGGUUUGU
RNAcentral lists this ribosomal RNA (308 nucleotides) under Escherichia coli. RNAcentral describes it as "bacterial SSU rRNA". It matches the Rfam family "Bacterial small subunit ribosomal RNA", at positions 283 to 583 of the family's 1533-position model. Lineage: Bacteria; Pseudomonadati; Pseudomonadota; Gammaproteobacteria; Enterobacterales; Enterobacteriaceae. The record is from RNAcentral.